Varanus komodoensis (Komodo dragon) is the source of this 386-nucleotide long non-coding RNA. RefSeq lists it as uncharacterized. The transcript is spliced from 2 exons. Lineage: Eukaryota; Metazoa; Chordata; Lepidosauria; Squamata; Varanidae. The record is from RefSeq and is a predicted model, not a curated record.
AGGUUUAUUCUUAGCGGUGACUGAAGAUUGCAGAAUUUACUGAAGUGUGUGACUGGGUGAGAAGAACCGCACAAGUGACAAGAGAAGACAGCUGGGCCAGGAGAACUAUGUGGAAGUCUUGUCCCUCUUCUCAAACAAUGCUGGACUGCAGAAGAUGGCUCCCACGCUGAAAUGCGGCUCAUGUGCAGGGAAGCAAAGAAGCCACUGCCACUCCUCCCACUUGGCGCUGGACAGGCGUGAGCCUCCCCGUUUGGGACUUGAUGCUGCUCUCCCCAGGACUGCACCCUCCGUUGCUCGUGCACGGCUUCCAGCUGGAUUGGACUCCGGAAUGCUUUCUGCAUAGGACCACCUUUUAAAAAUAAAGUUUGGCAAUGAUUGAUUGAAAA